Molecule: unclassified non-coding RNA, 546 nt
Filed under: Hevea brasiliensis (rubber tree)
Lineage: Eukaryota; Viridiplantae; Streptophyta; Magnoliopsida; Malpighiales; Euphorbiaceae
Source: RNAcentral
GGAUCUUAACAUUGUGUUUAAGAUUGUAUGUGAACACUCACAUGGGUUCUCUACAAUGGAAUUCUUUAAAGCAUGGAUCUAAUUGUAGUGGAAUGGGCCAAUUUUACUUUUACAUCCAGUAGGUAGUGGGUUAUGAAACCUUUAGCAUAAGCUGUAAUAGCCUAGCUGAUUUUUUGGGUGCAUUAAUGUAGAAGAAGCAUUGUGUCAAGAACUUCUAGACCGUUGAAGGCCUUGUAAAAGGUAGAGUGUUUUCAACCCUACUCAACAAAUACUUGGUCUCAAACUAGUCACUUGGCCAUGUAAAAUAAUGUUUUUUCAUAAUUUAACUAGAUUGCAGGAAAGAGCUUGGCAAACAAUCAUUACAAAAAUCAAUUGUAGGAUGUUUCUUAGCAUUACGAAUGCAAUGUAUGAUGAAUAUGUUAAGACAUUGGGUUUUGUACAUUUUCAGAUGUUGGCAUGGCAUGCUAUUUUGGGGUUAACUUUAAUGCCAUAAAGGUUGGCAACAGGGGAGCUAUGUUAGAUCUGAAGUAGCUUAGUUAUUAGACA